RNAcentral lists this long non-coding RNA (882 nucleotides) under Phasianus colchicus (ring-necked pheasant). Its description in RNAcentral is "lncRNA (ENSPCLG00000016380.1)". Lineage: Eukaryota; Metazoa; Chordata; Aves; Galliformes; Phasianidae. The record is from RNAcentral.
UUGCAGGUGAAAUUCUGUGCAAGAAAAUGUGAAGUAAAGCAUAAUGGCAAAAGAAUGUUACCUGUGGUUUAAUUUUGUGUGUGUUAACAAAAAAUUCUCAAUCUCUUUUACAGGUCUGUACAGAGAACUCUGAAACAGAAAGCAAGUUAGAAGAUAAUUUCUUUUGAUUGCGUUUUGGGCAUCUGCUGUUCCAAUUGGGCUCUUUUGGAAAGAAGCGUCCAGUGGGAUGAAUGCAAUUGGGGAGUCAAGGCAGAAGGAGUUUGAUACGAUUUGGAGUUCCAGGACUUGCUGAACUCACCCCUGGUGCUUUAGCUUUGGGAACAUUAAAUCCUUGCAGAUUGUUCUCCUACAACCUGUAAUGGCCUCAUGAGAGCUACUACUAGUCAUUUGCACAGCUCCAGUGUUGAGCCAGAAAUCUCCAGGUUUCCUGAGGGCAUCAAUCUCUGGAUUAAUAAGGCAACUUUCCACCAUCUCUUCUGGGAUAUCUGGUUGUGUCAGUAGAUGAAUAACUUUGGAAGUUCCCUGCAGAGAAGAGAGAGAGAAGAGCAAGAGCUGAGCUAACAGUAUCAGCAGAUGAGAAGGGUUUCUCUGGUGGUCAGUUCUGAAGACCAGGCUCCCACCUUUGGCUGCAUCUCCUGUAUUUCACUGCACUCACUGAUGUCCCUGCUCCGUGCACAUCAGAAGACACGCACGCUGAAACUGCCAUGCCUCUUCUAACAUCAGGGAAGAGACCAGGGUACAUCAUGCGUUAGCUCAGCUCUCGUGGGAACAGCAGGAUCAGUUGUUCAGAUGUCUUGAAGCCAUCUGCCAUGGGUACCUGAGGUUGCUGUCUACGCUGGGAGUCUCCCACGGGGAAACAGAAAAUAAAAAUUGUUUUUCACC